This 1530-nucleotide ribosomal RNA is filed under the name Veillonella sp. RNAcentral describes it as "partial 23S ribosomal RNA". It matches the Rfam family "Bacterial large subunit ribosomal RNA", at positions 698 to 2226 of the family's 2925-position model. The record is from RNAcentral. Lineage: Bacteria; Bacillati; Bacillota; Negativicutes; Veillonellales; Veillonellaceae.
AGUCAGUGGGGGUAGACGCGAAACCAAGUGAUCUACACUUGGCCAGGAUGAAGUCCCGGUAACACGGGAUGGAGGUCCGCACCAAUAAGCGUUGAAAAGCUUCUGGAUGAGCCGAGUGUAGGAGUGAAAGGCCAAUCAAACUUGGAGAUAGCUCGUACUCCCCGAAAGGCAUUUAGGUGCCGCGUCGGAUGGUCACCGUGAGAGGUAGAGCGACCGAUAGGACAAGAGGGCUUCACCGCCUAUCGAGUCCUGACGAACUCCGAAUGCUCACGGUCUGCAGUCCGGCAGUAAGGGGGCGGGUGCUAAGGUCCGUCCCCGAGAGGAGAAGAAUCCAGACCGCCGUCUAAGGUCCCGGAGUUCUGCCUGAGUUAGUCUAACGAAGUCUGGUCCCUAUGACAGCUAGGAUGUUGGCUUGGAAGCAGCCAUUCAUUCAAAGAGUGCGUAACAGCUCACUAGUCGAGGGUCCGGGCAUGGAUAAUAAUCGGGUAUAAGGCAGACACCGAAGGCGCGGGAUAGCAUUUAAGAAAGUAUCGGUAGGGGAGCAUACUCACAGCGUGGAAUGGUGUACGUAAGUUAUCCUGGAGCGGUGAGUAAAGCAAAUGUAGGAAUAAGUAACGAUAAGGAGGGUUAGAUUCCCUCCCGCUGUAAGACCAAGGUUUCCCGGGCAAUGCCAAUCAGCCCGGGGUCAGUCGGGUCCUAAGUCUAAGCCGAACGGCGAUGGCGAUGGCAGAGACGGUUAAUAUUCCGUCACUGCCGCAUGGGGCGACGUGGAGACGGAGCAGUGAAACCACCGCGGGGCGACGGAAGUCCCCGUUGAAGAGUGUAGGUGUUGAGGAUGGCAGGCAAAUCCACCGUCCGAGCUGAACUUGAUAGUAUGGAGUCUUCUUCGGAAGAAUCCAAUAGUGUGGGUAAUCAUACUCCCGAGAAAAUCCGCUAAGCUUAACCCAUGCGGCACCCGUACCGCAAACGGACACACGUGGUCGGGUAGAACAUACUAAGGCGUUGAGAGAUUCAUGGUUAAGGAACUAGGCAAAUUGACCCUGUAACUUCGGGAUAAAGGGUCCUCGUGAUGAGCGAGGCGCAGAGAAUAGGUCCAGGCAACUGUUUAACAAAAACACAGGGCUGUGCAAACUCGAAAGAUGACGUAUACAGCCUGACACCUGCCCGGUGCCGGAAGGUUAAGAGGAGAUGUCACUCGCAAGAGGAAGCAUUGAAUUGAAGCCCCGGUAAACGGCGGCCGUAACUAUAACGGUCCUAAGGUAGCGAAAUUCCUUGUCGGGUAAGUUCCGACCUGCACGAAUGGUGUAAUGAUCCGGACGCUGUCUCAACCAUGAGCUCAGUGAAAUUGUAGUAUCGGUGAAGAUGCCGAUUACCCGCGAUGGGACGAAAAGACCCCGUGAACCUUUACUACAGCUUAGCAUUGACCUUGGUCAUCCGAUGUGUAGGAUAGGCCGGAGGCUUCGAAGCGGGAGCGCCAGCUUUCGUGGAGCCAUCCUUGAAAUACGGCCCUUUGGCUGUCUGAGGUCUAAC